AAAAAUUUUCCACUAUGGUGGACCACAAUCUUAAUUCGUUCCUCAUCCAUUAUGAAACUUUCUUCUAUAACCUGUAUAUUGGGGGAGACAAAUAUUAUAUGUAUUUCAGUGAUAGCUAAGUGGGGCACUCACUCACUCACUGCAUAUACACUAACACCGACACCGACAGGGGGACAUGGAACAAACCUAUAUCCCACUUACCCAUCAUUAAAAGGAAGGGGACCACUACACCGAAUAAAGAAUUCAAACAUGCAAAAUGGGACCACACACUCUAAACUACAAUAUAACCAC
This 291-nucleotide long non-coding RNA is filed under the name Vigna radiata. RNAcentral describes it as "long non-coding RNA (VRAD_LNC007427)". The record is from RNAcentral. Lineage: Eukaryota; Viridiplantae; Streptophyta; Magnoliopsida; Fabales; Fabaceae.